Molecule: ribosomal RNA, 657 nt
Filed under: uncultured Bacteroides sp.
Lineage: Bacteria; Pseudomonadati; Bacteroidota; Bacteroidia; Bacteroidales; Bacteroidaceae
Description: bacterial SSU rRNA
Rfam family: Bacterial small subunit ribosomal RNA
Source: RNAcentral
AGCAUGGUCUUAGCUUGCUAAGGCCGAUGGCGACCGGCGCACGGGUGAGUAACACGUAUCCACCUCUUGCCGUCUACUCUUGGACAGCCUUCUGAAAGGAAGAUUCUUACAAGAUGGCAUCAUGAGUUCACAUGUUCACAUGAUUAAAGGUAUUCCGGUAGACGAUGGGGAUGCGUUCCAUUAGAUAGUAGGCGGGGUAACGGCCCACCUAGUCUUCGAUGGAUAGGGGUUCUGAGAGGAAGGUCCCCCACAUUGGAACUGAGACACGGUCCAAACUCCUACGGGAGGCAGCAGUGAGGAAUAUUGGUCAAUGGGCGCAGGCCUGAACCAGCCAAGUAGCGUGAAGGAUGACUGCCCUAUGGGUUGUAAACUUCUUUUAUAAAGGAAUAAAGUCGGGUAUGUAUACCCGUUUGCAUGUACUUUAUGAAUAAGGAUCGGCUAACUCCGUGCCAGCAGCCGCGGUAAUACGGAGGAUCCGAGCGUUAUCCGGAUUUAUUGGGUUUAAAGGGAGCGUAGAUGGAUGUUUAAAUCAGUUGUGAAAGUUUGCGGCUCAACCGUAAAAUUGCAGUUGAUACUGGAUAUCUUGAGUGCAGCUGAGGCAGGCGGAAUUCGUGGUGUAGCGGUGAAAUGCUUAGAUAUCACGAAGAACUCCGAUUG